AUUCCAGCUCCAAUAGCGUAUAUUAAAGUUGUUGCAGUUAAAAAGCUCGUAGUUGGAUUUCUGGCCUGACGAAACUGACCCGCCGCGGUUACGUGUGUGAGUGUCGGGCUUCGUCUGCCAUCCUUCCAGAAAACGUUUCUACCCUUCACUGGGCUGGAUUCGCGAUCUGGAACUUUUACUUUGAAGAAAUUAGAGUGUUCAAAGCAGGCUUGCGCUGUGAAUACAUUAGCAUGGAAUAAUAAUUUAGGACUCAGGUCUUAUUUUGUUGGUUCUUAAGAUCUAAGUAAUGAUUGAUAGGGAUAGUUGGGGGUGCUAGUAUUCAGCGGCCAGAGGUGAAAUUCUUGGAUUCGCUGAAGACUAACUUAUGCGAAAGCAUUCACCAAGGAUGUCUUCAUCA
Molecule: ribosomal RNA, 397 nt
Filed under: Marimonadida sp.
Lineage: Eukaryota; Cercozoa; Imbricatea; Marimonadida
Description: partial small subunit ribosomal RNA
Rfam family: Eukaryotic small subunit ribosomal RNA
Source: RNAcentral